This 448-nucleotide ribosomal RNA is filed under the name uncultured bacterium. RNAcentral's name for it is "SSU rRNA". It matches the Rfam family "Bacterial small subunit ribosomal RNA", at positions 26 to 518 of the family's 1533-position model. The record is from RNAcentral.
AGAACGAACGCUGGCGGCAGGCUUAACACAUGCAAGUCGAGCGAUCGCAGCAAUGCGGGAGCGGCAGACGGGUGAGUAACGCGUGGGAACGUACCCUCCGGUUCGGAAUAACUCAGGGAAACUUGAGCUAAUACCGGAUACGGUCGAGAGGCGAAAGAUUCAUCGCCGGAGGAUCGGCCCGCGUUCGAUUAGCUAGUUGGCGGGGUAAUGGCCCACCAAGGCGACGAUCGAUAGCUGGUCUGAGAGGAUGAUCAGCCACAUUGGGACUGAGACACGGCCCAAACUCCUACGGGAGGCAGCAGUGGGGAAUAUUGGACAAUGGGCGCAAGCCUGAUCCAGCCAUGCCGCGUGAGUGAUGACGGCCUUAGGGUUGUAAAGCUCUUUCGCUAGGGACGAUAAUGACGGUACCUAGACAAGAAGCCCCGGCUAACUUCGCGCCAGCAGCCGC